UCUGUAACAUCGGGCUCCAGAUUUGUCUUCUUUCUAUAAAUAGAUCAAAGAAAAUAACAUCAAGAAUCAAAAACGACUGUUUCUAAAGGAAUGAGUGAUACAGAUAAAAAAACACCAUUCAAUGGAUAUAAAGGCCUUCUCUUUGUGGAACUACAAUAUCAAAGAAAGAUGAUGAAAGCGAUCAAGAGGCUACUUGAUUUCGAUUUUCAGGAUUUGGUUAUUCUCGAAGGUCUGUAUACGGUUUUCGGAAUCUCUCCUCCGCCACCACUUGCACAAUUUUUAAACAGAGGUCUUCACACUUUGUCUUUGCCAGAAACGGCCAAGCCGGAGGUCGCAACUAUCUGCAAAAUUAUUGCAUGGAUGAACUUUGUGCUUCUUCCUCCGUCAUCAGAUAUGAUGAACUUUGUUUUUCCAGUUCAUGGUUUAAGCCUUUAAGGAACAAGAAAGGUACACGUUUAAUUGCUAGAAGUCAUGAAGGUUGGGUUUCUUUGACACAAGAUCAAAAUCCAUGAGCUUUAGCGUUUGGAUCUCACUAUUUUGGGAAAGAAUGAAGUAGAUGUUUCAAUGUAUCAGGAUUGUACUCUGGUUGAACCCAAAUGGUGUUUGAAUGUUUCAGUACGAGUCUGGGUUCUCCAAAGGAAUCAUACGAGGUCGGCCAUGGUUAUGGG
Molecule: RNA transcript, 668 nt
Organism: Brassica oleracea var. oleracea
Lineage: Eukaryota; Viridiplantae; Streptophyta; Magnoliopsida; Brassicales; Brassicaceae
Exons: 4
Source: RefSeq, a predicted model, not a curated record